Molecule: ribosomal RNA, 253 nt
Filed under: uncultured bacterium
Lineage: Bacteria
Description: partial 16S ribosomal RNA
Rfam family: Bacterial small subunit ribosomal RNA
Source: RNAcentral
UACGAAGGGUGCAAACGUUGCUCGGAAUUAUUGGGCGUAAAGCGCACGUAGGCGGCUCCGCAAGUCGGAUGUGAAAGCCUUCGGCUUAACCGAAGAAGUGCAUCCGAAACUGCAGAGCUUGAGUACUUAAGAGGAUCGCGGAAUUCCCGGUGUAGAGGUGAAAUUCGUAGAUAUCGGGAGGAACACCAGUGGCGAAGGCGGCGAUCUGGGAAGAUACUGACGCUGAGGUGCGAAAGCGUGGGGAGCAAACAGG